UACGAAGGGGACUAGCGUUGUUCGGAAUCACUGGGCGUAAAGCGCACGUAGGCGGAUGUGUCAGUCAGGGGUGAAAUCCCGGGGCUCAACCUCGGAACUGCCUUUGAUACAGCACGUCUCGAGUCCGGAAGAGGUGGGUGGAAUUCCUAGUGUAGAGGUGAAAUUCGUAGAUAUUAGGAAGAACACCGGUGGCGAAGGCGGCCCACUGGUCCGGUACUGACGGCUGAGGUGCGAAAGCGUGGGGAGCAAACAGG
RNAcentral lists this ribosomal RNA (254 nucleotides) under uncultured bacterium. RNAcentral's name for it is "partial 16S ribosomal RNA". It matches the Rfam family "Bacterial small subunit ribosomal RNA", at positions 524 to 776 of the family's 1533-position model. The record is from RNAcentral.